RNAcentral lists this long non-coding RNA (4861 nucleotides) under Homo sapiens (human). RNAcentral describes it as "HSALNT0324533". Lineage: Eukaryota; Metazoa; Chordata; Mammalia; Primates; Hominidae. The record is from RNAcentral.
AAAACAUUGUGUCUAAAAAAAGUACAUAUGUCAAUUUAAAAAUGCUUUCUUGCUAGAAAGUGCUAAUCAUCACCUAAGCCUUCAGAGAGUCAUAAUCUUUUUGCUGGCAGAGGGAGACUCUUUCCUCAUUAUUGACGGCUGCUGACUGAUGAAGUUGAUGGUUGCUGAAGGUGGGGGUGGCUGUAGCAAUUCCUUAAAAUAAGAUAACAAUACAAUUUGCCAUACUGGGUGACUCUUCUUUCCUGAAUGAUUUCUCUGUAGCAUGCGAUGCUAUUUGAAAGCAUUUUCCCCAUUGUAGAAUUUCCUUCAAAAUUGAAGCAAUCUUCUCAAACCUUGUCACUGCUUUAUCAAAUCAGUGUGUGGAAUAUUCUAAAUCUUUUGUUGUCAUUUCAACAGUGUUCACAGCAUCUUCACCAGGGGGAGAUUCCAUCUCAAGAAACCACUUUCUUUAUUCAUUUAUAAGAAGCAACUCCUUAUCUGUUCAAAUUUUCUCAUGAGAUUGCAAAUUUCAGUCACAUCUUUAGGCUCCACUUAGAAAUCUAAUUCUCUUGCUAUUUCUACCACAAGUGUAUUAUUUCCUCCACAGAAGUCUUAACCCCUCAAAAUCAUCCAUGAGGGUUGAAAUUAACUUCUUCUAAACUCCUUUUAAUGCCGAAAUUUUGACCUCCUUCCAUGAUUCCAUGAAUCACAAAUGUUCUUAAUGGCAUCUAGAAUGGUGAAUUCUUUCUGUAAGGUUUUCAAUUUACUUUGCCCAGAUCCAUCAAAGAAAUCACUAUCUAUGACAGCUAUAGCCUUAUGAAAUACGUUUCUUAAAUAAUAAGACUUGAAAUUUGAAAUUACUCCUUGAUCCAUGGGCUGCAGAAUAUAUGUUGUGUUAGCAGGCAUGAGAACAACAUUAAUCUCCUAAUACAUCUCCAUUGGGCCAUCAGGGCUGUUGGGUGGCUUGGUGCAUUGUCAACGAGUAGUAAUGUUUUCUGAAAAAUAUGUUUUUUCUGAGAAGUAGGUCUCAAGAGUGGACUUAAAAUAUUCAAUAAACCAUGCUGUAAACAGGAGUGCUGUCAUUUGGGCUUUGCUGCUUCAUUUAGGGACCAUCCAUAGAGAAUUUAGCACAAUUCAUGAGGGCCUUAGGAUUUUUGAAAGAGUAAAUUAGCAAUGGCUUCAAUUUAAAGUUGCCAGCUGUAUUAACUCCUAACAAGAAAGUCAGCCUGCCCUUUGCAGCUUUGAGUCAGGCAUUGAGUUUUCCUCCCUACCUCUGAGAAUCCUAGAUGGUAUCUUCUUCCAAUAGAAGGCUGUUUUAGAGGGCUGUUUUAGAAGGCUGUUUGAGUUAUCUACACUGAAAACCUUGUUUAGUGUGGCCAUCCUCCACCAUAAUCUUAGCCAAAUCUUCUGGGUAACUUGCUGCGUCUUCUACAUCAUCACCUGCCAGUUCAACUUGCAUUUUCUGUUGUGAAGGUUGCUUAUUUCCUAAAACCCCAUGAACCAACCUCUGCUACAUUGGAACUUUGCCUCUGCAGAUUCCUCACCUCUCUCAGUCGUCAUAGAAUUGAAGAGAAUUAGAGCCUUGCUCUGGAUUAGGCUUUGUCUUAUGGCAAUACUGUGACUGGCUUAAUCUGCUACUGAGAUCACUCAGACUUUCUCCAUAUCAGCAAUAGGAUGUUUCGCUUUCUGUUAUUAUUUUUUUUUUGAGAUGGAAUCUCACUCUGUUGCCCAGAUUCUAAUGCAGUGGUGUGAUCUCAGCUCACUGCAACCUCUGCCUCCCUGGUUCAAGGGAUUUUCCUGCCUCAGCCUCCCCAGUGGUUGGAACUACAGGUGUCUGCCACCAUGCCCAGCUAUUUUUUGUAUUUUCAGUAGAGAUGGGGUUUCACCAUGUUGGCCAGGCUGGUUGGUCUUGAACUCCUGACCCCAGGUGAUCCACCUGCCUCAGUCUCCCAAAGUGCCGGGAUUACAGGCGUGAGCCACUGUGCCCAGCCAGGAUGUUUUGCUUUCUUAUCAUUCAUGAGUUCAUUGGAGUAGCACUUUUAAUUUCCUUAAAGAACUUUUCCUUACCAUUCACAACUUGGCUAACAAUUUGGUACAAGAGGCCCAGCUUUUGGUCUGUUUCAGCUUUCAACAUGCCUUCCUCACUAAGCUUCAUCAUUUCUAGCUUUUGAUUUUAAAAUCAGAUGUGCAACUCUUCCUUUUAUUUAAACAUUUAGCGGCCAUUGUGAGGUUAUUAAUCGGCCUAAUUUUAAUAUGAUUGUGUGUCAGAGAAUAAAAGGGCCUGUGGAGAGGGAGGGAGGCCGAGGAAUGCCGGUCACUGGAGCACACAGAACACACACAGCAUUUACCAAUGAAGUUUGCCAUUUCAUAUGUGCAUGGUUCGUAGUGCCCCAAAACAAGUAGAAAAGCCACAGCAAAAAUCGCUGAUCACAGAUCACCAUAACAGAUGUAAUCAUAACAAAAAAAGUUUUAAGUAUUGAGAGAAUUACCAAAAUACGACACAGAAACAAAGUGAGCACAUGUUUUAAAAAAAACAACUGUGCCAAUAGACUUGCUAAACACACAAUUGCCAUAAACCUUCACUGUGUAGAAAAAAUGCAGCAUCUGUGAAGUGCGAUGCAGUAUCUAUGAAAAUGCAGUGUCUGUGCAGUGCGGUGCAGCGUCUGUGAAUCUGUGAGGUGGGGCGCGGCGUCUGUGAGAUGCGGCGCAGGGUGUGUGAGGUGCUACGCGGCGUCUGUGACGUAGGGCGCAGGGUCUGUGAGGUGUGGCGCGGCGUCUGUGAGGUGUGGCGCGGCGUCUGUGACGUGCGGCGCAGGGUCUGAGGUGUGGCGCGGCGUCUGUGAGGUGCGGCGCGGCGUCUGUGAGGGGCGCGGCGUCUGUGAUGGGCGCAGGGUCUGUGAGGUGCAAAGGCCAUUUAGUGUGUGGCCUUAGUUAAUUUUUUGUUUUCAAUUUUCUGUCUCUCAUGUUAUUGAUCUGUAAAAGGAGCAUAAUCGUAAGUGUCUCUUCUUAUUAGGUUACUUGUGAGGCGUAAGUGAAGUACUAUGUGUUAACUAGUAUCAUGAAACUACAGCCUCACUCUCCGGAGGAAAUAGUGUAAUGAUAGCGCCGUUUACAGGGUGCACCGUAACAGGAGGCAAAAACAGAGGUGGAUACGUGCAGAGAAGUCUUUAGGUGGUCUUGACACUAGAGCUGAAUUUGAAGGAAGUUGAGAACUUGUUAGAUGAAGGGACCUGAGAACAGGAACAAGUGUUCACCAAGACCGGUCUGUGUGAACACACAGAGGCGGAAAUCAUGCCAAAACUUGCAGAGUGGCAGGAAACUCCAUUCAGCUGGAGAAAGCAUACAUAUGGAGGGAGUGAAAGGAGAUAACAGUGGAGAGGUCUGGGCAAAUUUAGGCUGACUUCAAGAAGGCAGGAGUUUCCUGUGAAGAAAAUUGACUGAUACAGAUUUGUGUUUUAGAAAAGUCAGUCUGUCAGCAGCUGGGAAGGUGAAGGGGAGGUGUCACACCAGAUGUAAUAAAAUUGGUUAGUGGGAUUUAGCCAUUGUUUUAAAGAGUGGUGAAGGUAAGGGGAGUGUGGAGAGAGAGAACUUUUUGGAAGUUGGUUAUAUUGAUGGGACAUGUGGAUGUGACUAUGAAGAGACGGAAUCAAAAAUGGGCCAGAAGUCCUAAAUCUGAGCAACCUGUGGCAUGUGCACAUAAAUAUGACCCGGGGACAUGUGGGUGUGAGAGUCUUUAUUUCAGCAAAAUAUACUAAGCUAGAGGUAUAGAUUUUGGAAUCUUCAACAAUUAAUUGGCCAUUGUGGCCAAGUGAAAACAUUAGGAGUCUAAAGAUAGAGCUGUGGCCAACACUCAUAUUUAAAGAAAGGCUUGAGAAGCCCAGUGAUGCAAGAAGUGUCAAGAAAAUAUCACUAUAAAAAUGUUUGAGAAGCAUGGUACUAGUCAUCAGUGUUAAAUGUGCUUCUGGUGAGGGGUUCAGGAAGUUUCCAAUCAUGACGGAAGGUGAAGAAGAGUAGGCAUCACAUAGCAAGAGGGGAUGCAAGACACAGGGAGAGAGAGAAGAGGGAGGCACCAGGAUGCUUUCAGCAAUCAAUGUCAGGAAAACUGAUAGAGCAAGAAGUCACUCAUUGUCACAAGGACGGCACCAAGCCCUUUCUGAGGAAUCUGCCCCAUGACCCAAACACCUCCCACCAGGCCCUACCACCAACACAGGGGAUCACAGUUCAAUGUGCGAUUUGGAGGCAAAACAUAUACAAACUAUACUAGGAAGACAAACUGAUGUGAGGAUGAGGAGGAGUCAGAAAUAAACUCAUUCAACUAAUACUUGAGUAGCUACUGUUGCCUACAGUAUGUUCAAGGUUUUGCUAGUCAUCCAUAUGAUCACUAUUGACAGCUUGGGAGACUCACACAGGCUAGUGAAUUUCAGGAAUUAACAGAAACUGAACAGCUUCUAUAAUCCUGCAGGAAGUAACCUCUGGAUGGCACAAUGGAGUCUCACUCUGUUGCCCAGGCUGGAGUGCAAUGGCACAAUCUCAGCUCACCACAAGCUCCGCCUCCUGCGUUCAAGUGAUUCUCCUGCCUUAGCCUUCUGAGUAGCUGGUAUUACAGGUGCCUGCUACCAUGGCCAGCUAAGUUUUGUAUUUUUAGUAGAGACAGGGUUUCACCAUGUUGGCCAGGCUGUUCUCAAACUCCUGACCUCAAGUGAUCUGCCCGCCUAAGCCUCCCAAAGUGCUGGGAUUACAAGCAUGAGCCGCCGCACCCGGCCUCUGCUAAGUUUACAACCUGCAAAUUCUAUCCAAAAUAUAUACAUAUUUUCUUGUAUUUUUCAUUUAAUGCACCAAAAUAAAAAAAAAAUUGUUUUUCAUUUUCUGCUGGUUAUUACUU